RNAcentral lists this ribosomal RNA (1494 nucleotides) under Elacatinus puncticulatus. RNAcentral's name for it is "partial 16S ribosomal RNA". It matches the Rfam family "Bacterial large subunit ribosomal RNA", at positions 370 to 2597 of the family's 2925-position model. The record is from RNAcentral. Lineage: Eukaryota; Metazoa; Chordata; Actinopteri; Gobiiformes; Gobiidae.
GCCCCAACAGCUAGCCCAACCUAACAAAACAACAAGCCCCUAUUAAUAACCCCACAUAAAACAAACAAACCAGACCAAACCAUUUUUCCCCCUCAGUACGGGAGACGGAACAGGACAAUCGGCGCUAUAGAGACAGUACCGCAAGGGAACGCUGAAAGAGAACUGAAACAACCCAGUAAAGGUUUAAAAAGCAGAGCUCGACCCUCGUACCUUUUGCAUCAUGAUUUAGCAAGCACCCCCAAGCAAAGAGCCCUUUAUGUUUGAAACCCCGAAACUCUGCGAGCUACUCCGAGACAGCCUAUGCAGGGCGAACCCGUCUCUGUUGCAAAAGAGUGGGAAGAACUCCGAGUAGAGGUGACAGACCUACCGAGCACAGUUAUAGCUGGUUGCCUAAGAACCGAAUAGAAGUUCGACCUUUUGAAUUCUUCCACCACUCAAAGUAACACUUUAGCCCGGCCCAAAGAACAUCAAAAGAGUUAUUCAAAAGAGGGACAGCUCUUUUGAACCAAGACACAACUUUUACAGGAGGCUAAAGACUAAAUAGCAACAAGGACCAUGCCCAGGUGGGCCUAAAAGCAGCCACCCCCUUAAAAAGCGUUAAAGCUUAAGCGUGUAUACCCUAUAAUUUCAGCCACCUUAUCUUACCCCCCUAGUUAUAUUAGGCUCUCCCAUGCUCCCAUGGGAGAAAAACUGCUAAUAUGAGUAACAAGGGAGCCCACCCCUCCCUCCCUGCCCCCUGUGUAAUCAGAACAGACCCUAACUGAAAAUUAACGCCCCCACAAGAAGGCAUUAGGACACAAUUUUGACAACUAGACACACCCCAAGAAACAAGCUGUUGACCCCACACUGGAAGGCCCAAGGAAAGACAUAAAGGAGAAGAAGGAACUCGGCAAACACCAGCCUCGCCUGUUUACCAAAAACAUCGCCUCUUGCAACCCCAGUAUAAGAGGUCCCGCCUGCCCUGUGACACAUGUUUAACGGCCGCGGUAUUCUGACCGUGCGAAGGUAGCGCAAUCACUUGUCUUUUAAAUGAAGACCUGUAUGAAUGGCAUAACGAGGGCUGAGCUGUCUCCUUUUCCCAGUCAGUGAAAUUGAUCUCCCCGUGCAGAAGCGGGGAUGUCUUAAUAAGACGAGAAGACCCUAUGGAGCUUCAGGCUAUCAAGCAGCUUAAGUCAAGAACCCCCUGUAAUGGGACAUAAACUGAACAGCCAUCUGACUGACUGCCUUCGGUUGGGGCGACCACGGGGGAACAACAAGCCCCCGAGCGGAAUAGGCAACAAACCUUUAAGUUAGAAGCACAGCUCGAACACCCAGAAAUUCUGACCACCAAGAUCCGGCAACGCCGAUUAACGGACCCAGUUACCCUAGGGAUAACAGCGCAAUCCUCUUUUAGAGCCCAUAUCGACAAGAGGGUUUACGACCUCGAUGUUGGAUCAGGACAUCCUAUUGGUGCAGCCGCUAUUAAGGGUUCGUUUGUUCAACGAUUAAAGUCCU